Molecule: ribosomal RNA, 253 nt
Filed under: uncultured bacterium
Lineage: Bacteria
Description: partial 16S ribosomal RNA
Rfam family: Bacterial small subunit ribosomal RNA
Source: RNAcentral
UCCGUAGGGUGCAAGCGUUGUCCGGAAUUAUUGGGCGUAAAGAGCUCGUAGGCGGUCUGUCGCGUCGGCUGUGAAAACCCGGGGCUCAACCCCGGGCCUGCAGUCGAUACGGGCAGACUAGAGUGCGGUAGGGGAGACUGGAAUUCCUGGUGUAGCGGUGAAAUGCGCAGAUAUCAGGAGGAACACCGGUGGCGAAGGCGGGUCUCUGGGCCGUAACUGACGCUGAGGAGCGAAAGCGUGGGGAGCGAACAGG